ACUAUUCCUUGUUUGGGAUAUAGUUAUUUUAUUAUAUUAAUAACUUAAUUAUAAUAAAUCAUGAGCACACUAAAUAUUUAAGAAGUGUUGAAAAACUUAUCAAGAUGUACACCAAAUAAGUGACUUUAACCGAGUGAUUCUAUGAAACACAUGAUAAUUGAUGUGAUUAUGAUUGUGACUAUGAUGUAUGUGUAGAUCUCAUUCUCAUGAUAUGUGAU
RNAcentral lists this long non-coding RNA (218 nucleotides) under Gossypium barbadense (sea-island cotton). RNAcentral's name for it is "long non-coding RNA (GBAR_LNC015457)". The record is from RNAcentral. Lineage: Eukaryota; Viridiplantae; Streptophyta; Magnoliopsida; Malvales; Malvaceae.